RNAcentral lists this ribosomal RNA (508 nucleotides) under Sakaguchia cladiensis. RNAcentral describes it as "partial large subunit ribosomal RNA". It matches the Rfam family "Eukaryotic large subunit ribosomal RNA", at positions 60 to 596 of the family's 3401-position model. Lineage: Eukaryota; Fungi; Basidiomycota; Cystobasidiomycetes; Sakaguchiales; Sakaguchiaceae. The record is from RNAcentral.
AGAAACUAACAAGGAUUCCCCUAGUAACGGCGAGUGAAGUGGGAAAAGCUCAACUUUGAAAUCUGGCAGCUUCGCUGUCCGAGUUGUAGUCUCGAGAAGUGUUUUCCGCGCUGGACCAUGUAUGAGUCUGUUGGAAUACAGCGUCAUAGAGGGUGAGAACCCCGUUCAUGACAUGCCUUCCAGUGCUUUGUGAUACACUUUCGAUGAGUCGAGUUGUUUGGGAAUGCAGCUCAAAAUGGGUGGUAAAUUCCAUCUAAAGCUAAAUAUUGGGGAGAGACCGAUAGCAAACAAGUACCGUGAGGGAAAGAUGAAAAGCACUUUGGAAAGAGAGUUAACAGUACGUGAAAUUGUUGAAAGGGAAACGCUUGAAGUCAGACGUGCGUAGUGCCUUCGGGUGCUGUUGCAGGCCAGCAUCAGUUUUGCGAGCCGGAUAAAGGUGGGAGGAAGGUGGCAGCUCCGGCUGUGUUAUAGCCUCCCACUGAAUACGGAUUGUGAGACUGAGGAAUGC